GGGUUGUGAGGUUAAGCGACUAAGCGUACACGGUGGAUGCCCUGGCAGUCAGAGGCGAUGAAGGACGUGCUAAUCUGCGAUAAGCGCCGGUAAGGUGAUAUGAACCGUUAUAACCGGCGAUUUCCGAAUGGGGAAACCCAGUGUGACUCGUCACACUAUCAUUAACUGAAUCCAUAGGUUAAUGAGGCGAACCGGGGGAACUGAAACAUCUAAGUACCCCGAGGAAAAGAAAUCAACCGAGAUUCCCCCAGUAGCGGCGAGCGAACGGGGAGGAGCCCAGAGCCUGAAUCAGCAUGUGUGUUAGUGGAAGCGUCUGGAAAGGCGCGCGAUACAGGGUGACAGCCCCGUACACAAAAGCGCAUGUGUUGUGAGCUCGAUGAGUAGGGCGGGACACGUGGUAUCCUGUCUGAAUAUGGGGGGACCAUCCUCCAAGGCUAAAUACUCCUGACUGACCGAUAGUGAACCAGUACCGUGAGGGAAAGGCGAAAAGAACCCCGGCGAGGGGAGUGAAAAAGAACCUGAAACCGUGUACGUACAAGCAGUGGGAGCCCCACCACUAAGCCAGUGGUGAACUCCACAUACGCAUCCUUUGCUGAAGGUGCGGUUAACGGAGCGCAAGCGACGUUCAACC
Molecule: ribosomal RNA, 631 nt
Filed under: Salmonella enterica subsp. enterica serovar Kentucky
Lineage: Bacteria; Pseudomonadati; Pseudomonadota; Gammaproteobacteria; Enterobacterales; Enterobacteriaceae
Description: partial 23S ribosomal RNA
Rfam family: Bacterial large subunit ribosomal RNA
Source: RNAcentral